This 404-nucleotide ribosomal RNA is filed under the name uncultured bacterium. Its description in RNAcentral is "bacterial SSU rRNA". It matches the Rfam family "Bacterial small subunit ribosomal RNA", at positions 355 to 776 of the family's 1533-position model. The record is from RNAcentral.
CUGAGAAUCUUCCACAAUGGACGAAAGUCUGAUGGAGCGACAUCGCGUGAGGGAUGAAGGCCUUCGGGUUGUAAACCUCGGAAAUUAUCGAAGAAUGAGUGACAGUAGAUAAUGUAAGCCUCGGCUAACUACGUGCCAGCAGCCGCGGUAAUACGUAGGAGGCAAACGUUGCUCGGAUUUACUGGGCGUAAAGGGUGAGUAGGCGGACUUAUAAGUCUAAGGUGAAAGACCGAAGCUCAACUUCGGAAACGCCUCGGAUACUGUAAGUCUUGGAUAUUGUAGGGGAUGAUGGAAUUCUCGGUGUAGCGGUGGAAUGUGCAGAUAUCGAGAGGAACACCUAUAGCGAAGGCAGUCAUCUGGGCAUUUAUCGACGCUGAAUCACGAAAGCUAGGGGAGCAAACAGG